This 397-nucleotide ribosomal RNA is filed under the name uncultured bacterium. Its description in RNAcentral is "partial 16S ribosomal RNA". It matches the Rfam family "Bacterial small subunit ribosomal RNA", at positions 523 to 918 of the family's 1533-position model. The record is from RNAcentral.
AUACGUAGGGGGCGAGCGUUGUCCGGAAUGAUUGGGCGUAAAGGGCGCGUAGGCGGCGCGGUAAGUCUGGAGUGAAAGUCCUGCUUUCAAGGUGGGAAUUGCUUUGGAUACUGCCGCGCUUGAGUGCAGGAGAGGUUAUCGGAAUUCCCGGUGUAGCGGUGAAAUGCGUAGAGAUCGGGAGAAACACCAGUGGCGAAGGCGGGUAACUGGACUGCAACUGACGCUGAGGCGCGAAAGUGUGGGGAGCAAACAGGAUUAGAUACCCUGGUAGUCCACACUGUAAACGAUGAAUGCUAGGUGUAAGGGGUAUCAACUCCCUCUGUGCCGCAGCAAACGCAAUAAGUAUUCCGCCUGGGGAGUACGGCCGCAAGGUUGAAACUCAAAGGAAUUGACGGGG